This 229-nucleotide ribosomal RNA is filed under the name uncultured bacterium. Its description in RNAcentral is "partial 16S ribosomal RNA". It matches the Rfam family "Bacterial small subunit ribosomal RNA", at positions 568 to 796 of the family's 1533-position model. The record is from RNAcentral.
CAUGUAGGCGGACUCGCAAGUCGGUUGUGAAAUCCCUGGGCUCAACCUAGGAACUGCAUCCGAAACUGCUUGUCUUGAGUAAUGGAGAGGGUGGCGGAAUUCCCGGUGUAGAGGUGAAAUUCGUAGAUAUCGGGAGGAACAUCAGUGGCGAAGGCGGCCACCUGGACAUUUACUGACGCUGAGACGCGAAAGCGUGGGGAGCAAACAGGAUUAGAUACCCUGGUAGUCC